This 458-nucleotide ribosomal RNA is filed under the name uncultured Cytophagales bacterium. Its description in RNAcentral is "bacterial SSU rRNA". It matches the Rfam family "Bacterial small subunit ribosomal RNA", at positions 338 to 794 of the family's 1533-position model. Lineage: Bacteria; Pseudomonadati; Bacteroidota; Sphingobacteriia; Sphingobacteriales. The record is from RNAcentral.
CCUACGGGAGGCAGCAGUAGGGAAUAUUGGGCAAUGGUCGACAGACUGACCCAGCCAUGCCGCGUGCAGGAAGAAGGCGUUCUGCGUCGUAAACUGCUUUUGUUUGGGAUGAAAAAGGUCUUGCGAGACAAAUUGACAGUACCAAACGAAUAAGCCACGGCUAACUACGUGCCAGCAGCCGCGGUAAUACGUAGGUGGCAAGCGUUGUCCGGAUUUAUUGGGUUUAAAGGGUGCGUAGGUGGCUAUUUAAGUCAGUGGUGAAAGACGGUCGCUCAACGAUUGCAGUGCCAUUGAUACUGAAUAGCUUGAGUAGAGAUGAGGUGGGCGGAAUUGAUAGUGUAGCGGUGAAAUGCAUAGAUAUUAUCAAGAACACCAAUUGCGAAGGCAGCUCACUGGGUUCUAACUGACACUGAGGCACGAAAGUGUGGGGAUCAAACAGGAUUAGAUACCCCGGUAGU